This 31-nucleotide non-coding RNA is filed under the name Rattus norvegicus (Norway rat). Lineage: Eukaryota; Metazoa; Chordata; Mammalia; Rodentia; Muridae. The record is from RNAcentral.
AUUUCACCAAGAAUCAUCCGAGUGCAUCUGU